AGCCCCGUGGUGUAGUGGUCUAGCAUAAGAGACUCUGGAUCUCUUGGCGCCAGUUCGAAUCUGGCCGGGGCUG
This 73-nucleotide transfer RNA is filed under the name Thermoplasmatales archaeon. Its description in RNAcentral is "tRNA-Gln". It matches the Rfam family "tRNA". From Rfam's summary of the family: Transfer RNA (tRNA) molecules are approximately 80 nucleotides in length. Their secondary structure includes four short double-helical elements and three loops (D, anti-codon, and T loops). RNAcentral also lists the same sequence under 1 other name. Lineage: Archaea; Methanobacteriati; Thermoplasmatota; Thermoplasmata; Thermoplasmatales. The record is from RNAcentral.